RNAcentral lists this transfer-messenger RNA (401 nucleotides) under Prevotellaceae bacterium. It matches the Rfam family "transfer-messenger RNA". From Rfam's summary of the family: Bacterial tmRNA, also known as 10Sa RNA or SsrA, is named for its dual tRNA and mRNA-like properties. Its role is to liberate the mRNA from a stalled ribosome. Lineage: Bacteria; Pseudomonadati; Bacteroidota; Bacteroidia; Bacteroidales; Prevotellaceae. The record is from RNAcentral.
GGGGAUGUUUUGGUUUUGACAGCAGAACAUAUUGGAAGGUAAGCAUGUCGAGCAUCGUGUUUUGGCUCGUAAAUCUCAGUACACAAGCCAUAACUGGCAACAACACUUAUGCACUCGCAGCCUAGAAUUAACCAAUGGUUAAUGGCUUAAUCCUCCCCGACAAGGUUGGGGACGACGAGUAUCCCGCCUCCGCUUUUGCCUAUUGGGCGGUCGCUUAUGGGGUAUCGCUACAACGGGCUGGUUGCGUCGACUCCGCUAACGCGCAGCAAGAAAUCAGCGGAUAAGGUUCAAAUAGCCUGCCUGUUGGCGGUUUGUUCCCAACAAUCAAACACAGGAUAAACAUGUAGAAAGCUUUUGGAUAGUCUGUUUGGACGGCGGUUCGAGUCCGCCCAUCUCCACAA